Molecule: transfer RNA, 64 nt
Filed under: Rhinophis phillipsi (Phillipps' earth snake)
Lineage: Eukaryota; Metazoa; Chordata; Lepidosauria; Squamata; Uropeltidae
Description: tRNA-Ala
Rfam family: tRNA
About the family: Transfer RNA (tRNA) molecules are approximately 80 nucleotides in length. Their secondary structure includes four short double-helical elements and three loops (D, anti-codon, and T loops).
Source: RNAcentral
AGAGUUUUAGUUUAGUUAAAAUGUCUGUGUUGCAAGCAGAAGAUGUGAUUUGUUGCAAACUCUC